GAUGAACGCUGGCGGCGUGCCUAAUACAUGCAAGUCGAGCGAACGGACGAGGAGCUUGCUCCUCUGACGUUAGCGGCGGACGGGUGAGUAACACGUGGAUAACCUACCUAUAAGACUGGGAUAGCUUCGGGAAACCGGAGCUAAUACCGGAUAAUAUUUUGAACCGCAUGGUUCAAAAGUGAAAGACGGUCUUGCUGUCACUUAUAGAUGGAUCCGCGCUGCAUUAGCUAGUUGGUAAGGUAACGGCUUACCAAGGCAACGAUGCAUAGCCGACCUGAGAGGGUGAUUGGCCAAACUGGAACUGAGACACGGUCCAGACUCCUAAGGGAGGCAGCAGGAGGGAAUUUUCCGCAAUGGGCGAAAGCCUGACGGAGCAACGCCGCGUGAGUGAUGAAGGUCUUCGGAUCGUAAAACUCUGGUAUUAGGGAAGAACAAAUGUGUAAGUAACUGUGCACAUCUUGACGGUACCUAAUCAGAAAGCCACGGCUAACUACGUG
Molecule: ribosomal RNA, 497 nt
Filed under: uncultured bacterium
Lineage: Bacteria
Description: partial 16S ribosomal RNA
Rfam family: Bacterial small subunit ribosomal RNA
Source: RNAcentral